GUGCAGCAGUCGAGAAACCUUCGCAAUGCAGGAAACUGCGACGAGGGAACUCCAAGUGCCUACGCUCAGCGUAGGCUGUUCUCAAGCCUAGAAAGCUUGAGGAGUAAGGGCUGGGUAAGACGGGUGCCAUCUGGUGGUAGCAGUCAAUAGAUUCGAUUUGUUACUGCAAGGGCAUAAGCCGCCGCGGUAAUACCCGCAGCCCAAGUGGUGGCCGCUUUUAUUGGGCCUAAAGCGUCCGUAGCCGACCCGGUAAAUGCCUGGGUAAAUCGUGGAGCCCAACUUCACGAAUUCCGGGUAGACUGCCGAGCUCGGGACCGGAAGAGGGAGAGGGUACUUCGAGGGGUA
Molecule: ribosomal RNA, 345 nt
Filed under: uncultured microorganism
Description: bacterial SSU rRNA
Rfam family: Archaeal small subunit ribosomal RNA
Source: RNAcentral